AUUGAACGCUGGCGGCACGCCUUACACAUGCAAGUCGAACGGUAACAGGUCUUCGGAUGCUGACGAGUGGCGAACGGGUGAGUAAUACAUCGGAACGUGCCUAGUAGUGGGGGAUAACUACUCGAAAGAGUGGCUAAUACCGCAUGAGAUCUACGGAUGAAAGCAGGGGAUCGCAAGACCUUGUGCUACUAGAGCGGCCGGUGGCAGAUUAGGUAGUUGGUGGGAGAAAAGCUUACCAAGCCGACGAUCUGUAGCUGGUCUGAGAGGACGAUCAGCCACACUGGGACUGAGAAACGGCCCAGACUCCUACGGGAGGCAGCAGUGGGGAAUUUUGGACAAUGGGCGCAAGCCUGAUCCAGCAAUGCCGCGUGCAGGAUGAAGGCCUUCGGGUUGUAAACUGCUUUUGUACGGAACGAAAAGCCCCGGGUUAAUACCCUGGGGUCAUGACGGUACCGUAAGAAUAAGCACCGGCUAACUACGUGCCAGCCGCCGCCGUAA
RNAcentral lists this ribosomal RNA (498 nucleotides) under uncultured bacterium. RNAcentral's name for it is "partial 16S ribosomal RNA". It matches the Rfam family "Bacterial small subunit ribosomal RNA", at positions 30 to 523 of the family's 1533-position model. The record is from RNAcentral.